Molecule: unclassified non-coding RNA, 300 nt
Filed under: uncultured fungus
Lineage: Eukaryota; Fungi
Description: sequence contains 5.8S rRNA gene, ITS2
Rfam family: 5.8S ribosomal RNA (bases 1-71)
Source: RNAcentral
GUGAAUCAUCGAAUCUUUGAACGCACAUUGCGCUUCCUGGUAUUCCGGGGAGCAUGCUCGUUUCAGAAUCAGUAAAACAACCCAACAUUUUGAUGUUUUAUAAACAUUAAUGUGCUGGUUUUAUGGUGGUGUUUGUUUAUGUAAAUAGACAAUCCACUAAAAAAUUCUGGAUGCUUGAAUCAGUCUUUUACGACGUGAGUCUAUACACUGCAACAGAUAAUGAAUCAGUAUAUGGGAGCAUGACAUGAAAGCUCUUUUGAGUAUCUUCAAAUCAAUUAAGAUUGAAUAAGCUUUUGCUCA